UUUGAUCUUGGUUCAGGACGAACGCUGGCGGCGUGCUUAACACAUGCAAGUCGAACGAUGACGAUGGUGCUUGCACCGUCUGAUUAGUGGCGAACGGGUGAGUAACACGUGAGUAACCUGCCCUCCUCUUCGGGAUAACCGCCGGAAACGGUGGCUAAUACCGGAUAUGAAUGCCUGCCGCAUGGUGGGUGUUGGAAAGAUUUAUCGGUGGGGGAUGGACUCGCGGCCUAUCAGUUUGUUGGUGAGGUAAUGGCUCACCAAGGCGAUGACGGGUAGCCGGCCUGAGAGGGCGACCGGCCACACUGGGACUGAGACACGGCCCAGACUCCUACGGGAGGCAGCAGUGGGGAAUAUUGCACAAUGGGCGAAAGCCUGAUGCAGCGACGCCGCGUGGGGGAUGACGGCCUUCGGGUUGUAAACCUCUUUCAGCAGGGAAGAAGCGAGAGUGACGGUACCUGCAGAAGAAGCGCCGGCUAACUACGUGCCAGCCGCGGC
This 495-nucleotide ribosomal RNA is filed under the name uncultured bacterium. RNAcentral's name for it is "bacterial SSU rRNA". It matches the Rfam family "Bacterial small subunit ribosomal RNA", at positions 12 to 518 of the family's 1533-position model. The record is from RNAcentral.